GAGUUUGAUCCUGGCUCAGAACGUACGCCGGUGGCACGCCUAACACAUGCAAGUCGAACGCAGUAGCAAUACUGAGUGGCGAACGGGUGAGUAUAAUGUAGGUAUCUGCCUUUUGGUUUGGAAUAACACGAGGAAACUUGUGCUAAUACCGGAUAAGCCUUCACAGGGAAAGUCUUAACGCCAAAAGAUGAGCCUGCACUUGAUUAGCUAGUUGGUAAGGUAAUGGCUUACCAAGGCUACGAUCAAUAGCUGUUCUUAGAGGAAGAUCAGCCACAUUGGGACUGAGACACGGCCCAAACUCCUACGGGAGGCAGCAGUGGGGAAUCCUGCACAAUGGGGGAAACCCUGAUGCAGCGAUGCCGCGUGAGUGAAGAAGGCCUUUGGGUUGUAAAGCUCUUUCGUCGGGGAAGAAAAUGACUGUACCCGAAUAAGAAGGUCCGGCUAACUUCGUGCCAGCAGCCGCGGUAAUACGAAGGGACCUAGCGUAGUUCGGAAUUACUGGGCUUAAAGAGCACGUAGGUGGUUAAGAAAGUUGGUGGUGAAAUCCCAAGGCUUAACCUUGGAACUGCCACCAAAACUUUUUAACUAGAGUAUGAUUGAGGAAAGCGGAAUUUCUAGUGUAGAGGUGAAAUUCGUAGAUAUUAGAAAGAACACCAAUUGCGAAGGCAGCUUUCUGGGUCAUAACUGACACUGAGGUGCGAAAGCAUGGGUAGCGAAGAGGAUUAGAUACCCUCGUAGUCCAUGCUGUAAACGAUGUGUGCUAGACGUUGGAAAUUUAUUUUCAGUGUCGCAGCAAAAGCGUUAAGCACACCGCCUGGGGAGUACGACCGCAAGGUUAAAACUCAAAUGAAUUGACGGGGACCCGCACAAGUAGUGGAGCAUGUGGUUUAAUUCGAAGAUACGCGCAGAACCUUACCAACACUUGACAUGUUCGUCGCGACUCUAAGAGAUUAGAGUCUUCGGUUUGGCCGGACGAAACACAGGUGCUGCAUGGCUGUCGUCAGCUCGUGUCGUGAGAUGUUGGGUUAAGUCCCGCAACGAGCGCAACCCUUACUUUUAGUUGCUACCAUUCAGUUGGGCACUCUAAAAGAACUGCCAGUGAUAAGCUGGAGGAAGGUGGGGAUGACGUCAAGUCCUCAUGGCCCUUACGUGUUGGGCUACACACGUGCUACAAUGGUAUUCACAGAGGGAUGCAAAGAGGCAACUCUAAGCCAACCCCAAAAAAAUACCUCAGUUCGGAUUGUACUCUGCAACUCGAGUACAUAAAGCUGGAAUUACUAGUAAUCGUGGAUCAGCGCGCCACGGUGAAUACGUUCCCGGGUCUUGUACACACCGCCCGUCACACCAUGGAAGUUGGUUACACCUUAAGGCAAAGCUUAAAACCUUUGACUACGGUACGAUCAGCGACAGGGGUGAAGUCGUAACAAGGUAACC
RNAcentral lists this ribosomal RNA (1434 nucleotides) under uncultured bacterium. RNAcentral's name for it is "bacterial SSU rRNA". It matches the Rfam family "Bacterial small subunit ribosomal RNA". The record is from RNAcentral.